RNAcentral lists this long non-coding RNA (266 nucleotides) under Zonotrichia albicollis (white-throated sparrow). RNAcentral's name for it is "lncRNA (ENSZALG00000009345.1)". Lineage: Eukaryota; Metazoa; Chordata; Aves; Passeriformes; Passerellidae. The record is from RNAcentral.
CAGUGGUUCAUGGUUCGUUACUAGAGCAGUUACACACAGCUAAAGAAGGGAUCAUUUGGGAGUAUUCCUCCUGCAUUGUGGAAGAGCUUACUGUGCACUGAAAAUGAAGAAUUCCCAUGAGUUCCUCUACACUUAAGUGAAAUUAAAAAGAAGUGAUAGAGGAUGGUCCAAUACCAGUAAGGUAAGGGAGUGUGUACAAUAUUUUGUUGAAUUAAAUUCCCAUAUGCAAUAAUAAUAAAAUGAUAGGUAUUUAGGCUGUUAUUUCA